AACGAACGCUGGCGGCAUGCCUAACACAUGCAAGUCGAACGAGACCUUCGGGUCUAGUGGCGCACGGGUGCGUAACGCGUGGGAACCUGCCCUUAGGUUCGGAAUAACUCCCCGAAAGGGGUGCUAAUACCGGAUAAUGUCUUCGGACCAAAGAUUUAUCGCCUUUGGAUGGGCCCGCGUUGGAUUAGCUAGUUGGUAGGGUAAAAGCCUACCAAGGCGACGAUCCAUAGCUGGUCUGAGAGGAUGAUCAGCCACACUGGGACUGAGACACGGCCCAGACUCCUACGGGAGGCAGCAGUGGGGAAUAUUGGACACUGGGCGAAAGCCUGAUCCAGCAAUGCCGCGUGAGUGAUGAAGGCCUUAGGGUUGUAAAGCUCUUUUACCCGGGAUGAUAAUGACAGGGCCGGGAGAAUAAGCUCCGGCGAACUCCGU
This 432-nucleotide ribosomal RNA is filed under the name uncultured bacterium. RNAcentral describes it as "partial 16S ribosomal RNA". It matches the Rfam family "Bacterial small subunit ribosomal RNA", at positions 29 to 506 of the family's 1533-position model. The record is from RNAcentral.